This 460-nucleotide ribosomal RNA is filed under the name uncultured bacterium. RNAcentral describes it as "bacterial SSU rRNA". It matches the Rfam family "Bacterial small subunit ribosomal RNA", at positions 34 to 507 of the family's 1533-position model. The record is from RNAcentral.
CGCUGGCGGCGUGCCUCAGACAUGCAAGUCGAACGAUUAAAGCUUCUCUUCGGAGAGUGUAUAGAGUGGCGCACGGGUGAGUAACACGUAAGUAAUCUACCCUCGAGUGGGGAAUAACAACCGGAAACGGUUGCUAAUACCGCAUAAUGCAGCGGCACCGCAAGGUGACAGUUGUUAAAGAUUUAUCGCUUGAGGAGGAGCUUGCGGCAGAUUAGCUAGUUGGUAGGGUAACGGCUUACCAAGGCUACGAUCUGUAACCGGUCUAAGAGGACGGUCGGUCACACUGACACUGAAUAACGGGUCAGACUCCUACGGGAGGCAGCAGUCGGGAAUUUUGGGCAAUGGGCGAAAGCCUGACCCAGCAACGCCGCGUGAAGGAUGAAGUAUUUCGGUAUGUAAACUUCGAAAGAAUAGGAAGAAUUAAUGACGGUACUAUUUAUAAGGUCCGGCUAACUACGUG